GGCGCUGCGGGGGAAGCACCGCCCUGUACGAGGGCUGAGCCUGGGGCUGAGCCGGGCCUAACCUGGGACAGAGCCUGAGGCUGCAGCGCCCGGGUUUUGCGGCGGCCGCAGGGCUUGGCUGGCGCCGUGUUCCCGCGGGGGAAUCGCCAGCCGCUCCAUCGGGGUUAAAGGACAAACUGCCAUUUUGUCUGCUGGACAGGGAUGUGGUAGUGGAGCGGUCGGGCUGAUUUUUUGGCAUUGCUUCGUAGCAGAAGGAGAAUGCUAAGUGAAAUUAGCUGUACAAAAUUGGUGUUUUAAAGCUAUUGAGCAAGAAACAAAAUUAACAUCAACAGCAGGUGGCAGUGCUAGCAAGAGCAGUGGUUCUGAUGUGAGUUGUCGGCUGGUGGUUUGUGUAGUUUCAGCUCUUCCGCAAAAGCAGUAGAGAGUGCCAGGAUCCUGUGUGCAGAGAGGACAAGACCAGCUCCCACUGAUGACUGACCCCUGGAACACCCCUCAAGCAUUGUUGUGAGGUUCAAGUAGAAGCCUGCUGUAUGUUGGUGAAGUUUACCCACUGUGCUUCUUAGAAGAAAAAAUUAGUGAAAUUGGUAAAAAAAAUCAAAGAAGAAAACCUGUAAAGUUCCCAUGCUGUGACUGUGACACACUCUUUACACCUCACCUCCUAAUUCUCUGACACAGAGAUGGACUGGAACACAUUCCCAGCGCAGCUCUACAAUAUGUCUCUGGCUUUCAACUCUCUCUGAAGAGAAUGUACCAGGUUACUGCACUGGCAGCCAGGUCUGUAUGUCUUAGAGAGAAAUCCAGGCUCAGAGAAGGUUGACUGAAGGUAUGUUUCCAAGGCACCAGGCUGGCGGGAUAGUUGUAUCCAUCAGUUGCCCUGUCUAAACUGAAGGCAUACCCAUCAUAUGAGUACACAUAUAUACACAUAUGUCUUGUGGCUGUGAAAAACCACAUGCCUUUCCUGCAGCUUUGCAGAUUGCAUUCUUGUACAUCAGUAUUCAGGUAAGUUGGAAAGCUUUCGCAAGCGGGAAGUGGAACUCAAAAAGAGAUUAAGUCAAUCUCUUGAAAAGGGCUUUAAAGCAUACUUUGUUUUUUAGGAGUUUUUUUAUUCUUUGGAACAAAAAGUGUGCUGAAUUGUUGUCAGGCAUAUAUGGAUAUAAUAUGUGAGUACAAAGAAAUGCAAGCAAGUUUGUUGACUUAUUGCCAUAGUGAGACAAAUAAUAAUUUUAAUUAAAUUGUAAUGAAAAUUGUUGUGUCAUGUUCCCCCCCCUCCCCUAGCGAAUUCAUUAUCUGAUUAGUCAAAAGGGAUAAAUAAUUCCUUUAGGUUUGCAUACCUUUUUGUCAAGCAGUAUGGAUUUUUCCUUCAUAUAUACAAAGAAAUGAAACUGGCUAAUAAUGAAAUCAUUGAGCAUCCUUAACUAUAAAAAGAACCUUUUAAAUCCAGAACUAGAGGAGGGUUCUGCAGACAAAGCAAUCUGCACACAAAACAAUCUGAAUUUCCUAUCAGAGUAACAGAAAUGAGGUGGUCCAAACACACCUCAUUGGUUCCUUCCCAUUUCUGAUGGCCUUGAAGCAGGCUUAUGCUCCUUGAUACUGGCUUUCCUAUGUUUAUUUUUGUCUACUGAAGCCUUUUUCUAUCCAGGAGAAGGAAGUGGUGUGUAUUUGCUUCUAUAUAUAAACCCAUUCCAUCUUGCAGGGUGGGUGAUGUGGCAGUAUCCCAUGGGAGGAGAGGCAGGAUUCAGAUCUGUACAAGAAUGUUUUUUAUACAUUUUAGAAUGCAUUUGACCUGAUACUUUAUAUUUAAGUAUUUAAUCUACAGAGAAUUUUAUGUCUGUAAACUUUGUCUCCUCCCUUUCUGAAGAGAGUUCUAGAAGACAAAACUGGAAAUUGAAAAGGAAAUCAGUUGCCCCAUACUCACUGGUCCUUUCAUAAGCCCCACUUACGCUUUUUUAUUAUUUUUUAUUAUUAUGUAUUGACCAAGUAUUUAAGCACAUCUUUAGUCCAAGCCAAUUCGGAGGGUGUUGGUACAAGGCCACCCCAAAGCAAGUAAUCUCUGAUUUGUAGUAAAGCCAGGUUAUGACUGAUAGUUUUAAAUACAGUGAAGAUCUUGGAGGAGGCAAAACACUUGACUUGAUGUUCAACUUGAGAAGACUUGCUUAUGGCUUGAACUAAAAUCAAGAAGAAGCAGCAGAUGUUGGAGGGGCGAUUACCAUUAUAAUAGAAUCAUUCAGGCAAUCCUAUUUAAUUUGAUUUAUUUUGUUUUCUGUUAUACUCUCAGAUACCUUUCAGACAUAUGAUUCUUUUUGUUUGGAGUCUAAUCCGUACUUCAUUAAAUCUAAUCCACUGGUAUUUGAAUAGUUCUGGACAUUUUUUUGCAUUGAUAUAUGUCAUUGGGAUGUAAGAAACUUCAAAAAACUCUUGUCAUCAAACACAGACCUUUGUUAUUACAGUUGAGCACAUCUUAGAAUCCUGUUCAUCAGCUUAUCCAACUGUAAUUUAAAAACAAACUUAUUUGUUCUGCUGCAUCUGUAGGGUCUAAAUUUGACUCUUCUGAAGGUCAGAGGGUAUGAACUGGAGAAUCUGUCCUUUUACCUGAUGUGAAACUAGUGCUAAACAUAAUAUCACUCUUAGAAUAUAUAUUUUUCCACAGAUAGAUAAAUAAGAUUUGCUUAAGAACUUUUAAAAUUAAUUUGGAAAAUUUACUGUUUUUCUGAACCUCUGGGAUUCUGUAUAUGACACCUUUUUCUAAGAUGGAGGCAACAGUGGCUUUUUCUUUCCCUCUGCUGACUUCUGGUUCACCGAUACACCUUCCCUCAUAGCAAUUUAAAGCACUGCCAACAAAAGAUGCUUUACCAUGUGUUGAAUCUGUCAAGCUUUUAACUAGUUUCUCCUCAGGUGUCCACUGAAGAUGAAGCAGGUUUUGAACAAACGUGUCUCGGGGACUGUUGGUUAGCUAAUUUUUCAUCUGAGUUUCCAGCUGCACCAGAAACCUGAGUAAGGAAAAAAAGAAGGAUAUUUUCAAGACAAAUUCUCACUGAAGUAGAAUAAGCAAUGCAGCGUUUGCUAUUUGUCUUUUGAGAUAAAUUUAACCACUUACCUUUGCCUGUUGCUUUGUUUUCUCUGUGUAAGUCACCAGCAGUGCAAAAUUUGACUGAAAAUACAGGCAGAGAUCUUUUGAGCACAUCUUCCUCGUACUUCCUAGAAAUUUAUGCUGACUGCUAUUUCUGCCAUAAGGAAUUUCUAAUUAUGAAGCAGUCUUGGGGCAAAAGUGAUUCAUAAUGAGUUGGCAGUGUCUAAUAAACUUAUAAGUAGUUAUGUAUCAUUAUGAGAUAAUAAAGUAAUCAAAUAAUGUGUUUCCAGUGCUGCCAGUAAGAAGCUGCACUAGAAACCAGGAGGGAGCAUGGCCAGGGCAGGUGAUCUGAACUGGCCGAAGUGGUAUGCCAUUCCAUAGAACAUCAUGCUCAGUACAUAAAGUAGAAGUCCUGAUUGCUUUGCAGGGACAGGCUGAGAAUCAGUUGACAGGUGGUGAGCAGUUGUUUGUGCAUAAAUUUGGUUUCUUAGAUUUUAAUCCCAUUAUUAUUAUUAUUAUUAUUAUUAUUAUUAUUAUUGUUAAUUAUCAUUAUAUUAUGGUCUUAAUUUUUUCUUUUAUUUCAGUUAUUAAUCUGUUUUUAUGUCAGUCCAACGGUUUUACCCUUUUCUAAUUCUCCUUGCUAUCCAGAGUUGGUUGGUAGUGGCAAGGGAAAUGGGCAAGGGAUUGGAUGGUAAUUAGUUGUCCACUGGGGUUUAACCACUGCACCUACUAGUGCCUCUAGGUGAGGCUGUUUUUCGGUAUUAUUAAAUCAACAUUUUCUUACAGUGCCUAUUAAACUAAAGAAUUCCAGCAAAUAACACACAUCAAAGUCCAGGAAACACUUGACAUGAAGAUUUUACGUGAGAGAUGUUAAAACAUUUACCGUUCUGCCUUGCAGUAUGGUAUCCGUGGGUUUUCCUACAUGCAUCCUGAGAUAGUUGCUGAUUCUUGUCUCUUUAAUGGCUUUGAUGGAAACAAGUCUGUUUGCUGCUGUUACUGUGUGUAACAUACCUCGGAACACAGGAUUGAGAGAAACUGGUGAUUUUACAGUUCCAGUCCUCUUCGAUAAAGUGUCCGAGAUGAAAUGAAUACACUUCUGAGACUGUUGCCUAGAGGCCAGGGAAACUGCUACAACAAAGUGAAGACAGAAGUAACAGACAUGCUAACAAGUGCAGAACUGAGAACAUGGGGCAGAAUGUGCCCAGACAGAAUUAUUCUGAGAGAGACACUGCAAUGUAUAUAAAAUUUUGCACUCACGCAUCUAAACUAGUACAAUAACUAAUUUUGAAAUGCUAUUGACAGGUAAGUACAACUGACUAAAACUUGAUGUAAAAUAUUCCAGUCCUAUGGAAUUAUAAACCCGGAUGAUUAAAGAGAAUAUCGUUCUUGUUAACUUGCAAUUUCCUAGACAGAAAAAGAAGGGAUAUGUUUUUAUUAGUGUUUACGUUCAUUAUUUAUAAAUACGUACCUUUGUUUAAAUUGGAAUGAUCAAUUCUUUACUCUUAGUGGGGAAGAGGAGACUUAAUAUUAAUUCCAGACCUCCAAGAAUGUAAUUUCCACUUUUAGGUGCAUUCUCAGAUUGCUACUUUGUGAUAGUAGUAUGAAAGUAACAGUUGUAAAUGCUGGGGCUGUGAGAGGCUUGUGCAUUUAUGAAAACCAUUUACGAUGGGCCUUGUGUCCUUGGGAUAAAAAGUGUUUUCCCCUGGAGUUAGAAAAGUGGUUAACCCUGGGUGGUGCUGUUCCUGAUGUGCCAGGGCCAAUCAGAAGCUACAUUUCGCUACUGUAAAAAUCAACAUAUGGCACAGACAGGAAGAGAAGGAAGUUGAGGUAGUUGAAAAAGUUGUAGCCAUGUUGUGAAGCCAUGAGGAGGGUCUCAAACUGUGACACCUUGUUAGCUUCUCAGUGUAACAAACCUUUCCCUCAGAAAGAAAUUCCAGUGUUAUGAAUUAUUGCAGCCCAGGCGGAAUAGGGAGUGAAGAUUGAGGCUGUAGCUGUACAGGCUAUGGAAAGACUGAUGUGAAGAGGAAGAUCAUUAACAAGGGGAUUAAGAAAGCGGUCCAGGUAAACAGUAAGAUAUAGAUGGUCUAAUUAUUAACAUAAGAUUUCUGUAUGGGAAUAUCUGUGGAAAAGGAAGGGCUACUUCAGCGUUCCCUUACAGAAAGUGGACUGGUGGACCUGAAGAUGGUGGAGCAAAAGCUGAGGAAUUACUCAGAGGUGCAAGAUGAAGUGUGAAGUUCUGUGAACCUUGAGACUGCUUUGAACUGUUACCAGUAGCUUCUGAAAUUUACAGACAGGGACAUGUUGUAGAUCCUUGUAUGUUUUUGCAACUCCUUGUGUUUUUCAUGAUGUCAUUGUGAAUGAUUCUGGGACAUUUCAAGUUGGUUUGCGUUAAAAAAAAAAAAAAAGAAGGAGAAAAUACUAUAGUGGAAGACUGCAGUUACUGAAAAAACAUGAGUUACUGAGGUUUUUAACACAUGAUUGCGGAGUAUGUAAGUAGAAGAAUAAUCAGUUUGGUUCUCACACUUAACUUGCAACUGGUAGAUUUUUCUCUGGAGAUAUUUUUCCACAUAUCGUAAGACAUAUUUUUCUAAAUGUUUGCCUUUCUUUCUAUACCAUUUAUGUCUGCAAACAAUUAGGAGCAAAGCAUGGUACUAGAUAAUGCAAGCUACCUGCACUAACUCAGUAUAGUCCGAGAUAACACUAUAGGUCCCCAUCUUUAUGAGUGUAAAUACGUUAAGAAGUUUAUGCGGUUUAAAGGAAAUAACAGAACUGUGGAUAAGAAAGGAGAAAAAAAAAUACAGACUCUGUGUUUGUGGUGUAAAGGUUAAAUGAGAGGAAGAUCUGAGGAUGAUAGUAGAAUUUCAUCAAAUACCAGGAAAAAUUCUAGGUGGCUUUGAUAGCUAUAUAAAUCAUAACAUUGGAAUUUUGUAUGUAAUUCUGAAUGUGAAAGGGUUAAAAAAAGUAAAAAGAGUAAACACAUGACAUAGGAGUGACAUUCUUACAUCACACUUCAGCCUAAGAACUGAAAAAAACAAAAAACAAACUCUGUACGUAAGAGAACAGUUUUUUUUCCUGUCUUACAUACUCUAGACAUGAUUUCUUUUGAGUUUUCUUUCAUUUGGGAAGCAUUGUACUAAUGGUCAACUGGAAAAGGCAGAGCAAAAAGCUUGAAUUGAUAUGACACUUAUCUGUAAAUUUGCGGUCAGCUGGGUAAAUAAGGAUUUAGGUCCUAUUUUGAAAAUAUGUAUUUACUCUGUAAAAUGUAAUGGUUUGAGGGGGAAAAAAGUCUCACUAUGCUCUAUAAGCUAUAUAUGCAUUUUGGGCACUUUUAGAAGUGAGUGAAAUGGCUCUUUUUUACUAAUAAAAAGGUCUCAAAUUGAAUGAGUGCAUACAAAACAUUAUUUUCUGCCACUUAGAAUAAGACCUUUAGUAUUUUAAUUUACCAUUGAUUUAUCCACAGUCACUAAUCUCAAAAGUCCAGCUGUUAUUUACAGUUUUGGAGCUAUGUCACUAUUCACUUUGAACUUUUUGGUAACCUCUGUGUUGCUAUAUGAAUCUAUAAAGUUAAUUAACAUAGAGGCACUAAGAUUUUCAGUUUGUUUUGUUCAAGAAUAUCACUAAGCCAUGCUUUAAUUAGAUUAGUUUUAGAUGCUGACUUGGUAUGGAUUCAGGUACCAUUCAUGGGAAUAGGGUCAAAAUCCUUCCCUCAAAUAAACAGAUUUUGCAACUUUGUUGACUUUAGUGUUAUAUAAUCAGUGUGGAAACAGAUUAUGCUGUUUCAUUUGGAGUUUUUUCAGGAGGAAUAUAAUAAGCAAGAAGUUAUUAAGGAGUACUGACUUUUCAUAAUUUAAACUUUGAAUUGUGUUUCUAAGAAUGCAAAUUAUAAAGUCGCCAUUAAAUUUACCUAAGACAACUUUUUAUAACCAUUGGAGAUAGGAUAGACAAGGCUUCAGAUUCUGAGGAAUAUAGGGAAAGCAAACCUCUAGUCAGCUUUCUGGUGAAACCUGAGCACUUUAUGAAUUACAUAUCAUGCAGUUGUUUGUAAUUUUAAAGCAUUGAUUUUCAUGGCUUGGGUUUUCUUCUACUUCUAAGCAAGUAAAUUUGCAUUACACGAACAAAUUGUAGGCCAUUACUCUCAUUUGCAGAGAUGAUCAAUUACCUAGUCCUUCCAUGUACACCUUUGACUUCUCUUUCAAAUAAAAUGAAAAAAGAUAUAUUUGCAUCUUCAAUUUUUUAAAAAUCUGUUUCUACAUGGGGAGAAAAAAUAUAAAUGUUAUCUCUUAAAUCAGAAUACAUCAUUAGAUCAGAAUAAGACUUGCAAACUCAGAACCUCUACUAGCAGAAAUCAAUGGACAAAAGCCAUGAACAAGAGAAAUCCUAGGGAUACUAAGAAGUUUGCUGGUGAUACUAAGUUGGGAGGAGCUGUUGACAUCCUGGAGGGCAGAGAGGCCCUGAAGAGAGACCUUAACAAAUUAGAAAGAGAUAGCAGAUCACCAACCAUAUGAAGUUCAAUGAAGACAAGUUCCAAAUUCUGCACUUUGGAUGGCGCAACCCUGGAUGUAUGGACAGACUGGGGAAUGAGAUGCUAGGAGACAGUGCUGUGGAA
Molecule: long non-coding RNA, 7673 nt
Organism: Lepidothrix coronata (blue-crowned manakin)
Lineage: Eukaryota; Metazoa; Chordata; Aves; Passeriformes; Pipridae
Exons: 7
Source: RefSeq, a predicted model, not a curated record